Molecule: transfer RNA, 65 nt
Filed under: Amynthas phaselus
Lineage: Eukaryota; Metazoa; Annelida; Clitellata; Crassiclitellata; Megascolecidae
Description: tRNA-Gly
Source: RNAcentral
GUGUUUUUAGUAUAUAUAUAGUACACCUACCUUCCAAGUAAGAAGAUUAAUAAUUAAAAAACACA